RNAcentral lists this transfer RNA (58 nucleotides) under Loxodonta africana (African savanna elephant). It matches the Rfam family "tRNA", at positions 14 to 71 of the family's 71-position model. Rfam says of the family: Transfer RNA (tRNA) molecules are approximately 80 nucleotides in length. The record is from Rfam by way of RNAcentral. Lineage: Eukaryota; Metazoa; Chordata; Mammalia; Proboscidea; Elephantidae.
AGUGGUUAAAGCUUGGCUGCUAACCAAAAUGUCGGUAGUUCGAAUCUACCAGCCACUC